RNAcentral lists this ribosomal RNA (318 nucleotides) under Kneallhazia solenopsae. Its description in RNAcentral is "bacterial LSU rRNA". The record is from RNAcentral. Lineage: Eukaryota; Fungi; Microsporidia; Tubulinosematidae.
CAAAUAAAGAAGAGGUUGGGGAUAACUAUACGAAUUCAACUCCCACAUUAGAAAGCCUUUACUCCGACGACUUAUAAGUCGGAGCGAUAGCGUGUGGAGACGCAGGAAGGCGCGUUGCUUGGGCUCUGUAGGAAGUCCUCGUCAUAUAUUAUUAUUAAGAAUAUAUUUCUUUUUUAUAGAUCAUACUAGAUCGCCGUCUAAGAAGAUGGCGACGGAACAAUGCUGAAUAUAGAUUAGAUCAACUGGAAUGUGUUUACGGAGAAGUGUCGUCGUAGAAAUAUUUCAGUAGGUAGAGUCUAUCGCUGCCCGCCACACACG